AAAUGGAAGGGGAUUAUAUUAUUAAUGGGCAAAUUAUGCCAGAAAAAGAAAAAAAAGCACACAAAAUGUAUUUCUCUCAAAAGUUAGGGGCGAAAUUUAAAUUUUCAAUAACAAAAGAUGAAAUGUGAAAACGCAGAGAAAUAAUUUCUCAGAGAGAAGGGCCAAGGGCCUUAUCUACUUCUUCGGCUAGAACGCUCACAGCAUCUGAGCAAAGUCACGCAGAAAACCAGCCAUGUUCAAUCUUUCCACUGCAAUUGU
Molecule: unclassified non-coding RNA, 258 nt
Filed under: Hevea brasiliensis (rubber tree)
Lineage: Eukaryota; Viridiplantae; Streptophyta; Magnoliopsida; Malpighiales; Euphorbiaceae
Source: RNAcentral